Molecule: ribosomal RNA, 385 nt
Filed under: uncultured bacterium
Lineage: Bacteria
Description: bacterial SSU rRNA
Rfam family: Bacterial small subunit ribosomal RNA
Source: RNAcentral
AUUGAACGCUGGCGGAAUGCUUUACACAUGCAAGUCGAACGGCAGCACGGGAGCUUGCUCCUGGUGGCGAGUGGCGAACGGGUGAGUAAUGCGUCGGAACGUGCCGAGUAAUGGGGGAUAACGCAGCGAAAGUUGUGCUAAUACCGCAUACGCCCUGAGGGGGAAAGUGGGGGAUCGCAAGACCUCACGUUAUUCGAGCGGCCGAGUCUGAUUAGCUAGUUGGUGGGGUAAAGGCCUACCAAGGCGACGAUCAGUAGCGGGUCUGAGAGGAUGAUCGCCACACUGGGACUGAGACACGGCCCAGACUCCUACGGGAGGCAGCAGUGGGGAAUUUUGGGACAAUGGGGGGCAACCCUGAUCCAAGCCAUUCCGCGUGAGUGAAGAA